RNAcentral lists this ribosomal RNA (1349 nucleotides) under metagenome. Its description in RNAcentral is "bacterial LSU rRNA". It matches the Rfam family "Bacterial large subunit ribosomal RNA", at positions 1564 to 2925 of the family's 2925-position model. The record is from RNAcentral.
CGAGUACGACCCGUUACGACGGGGAAGUGUCUGAUGUCAGGCUUCCAAGAAAAGCCCGAACCACGUUAAUUCAAAUUGGCCCGUACCCUAAACCGACACAGGUGGGAAGGUAGAGUAUACCCAGGGGCGCGAGAUAACUCUCUCUAAGGAACUCGGCAAAAUGGCCCCGUAACUUCGGGAGAAGGGGUGCCACCGAGAGGUGGUCGCAGUGAAGAGUCCCAGGCGACUGUUUACCAAAAACACAGGUCUCCGCUAAGUCGCAAGACGAUGUAUGGGGGCUGACGCCUGCCCAGUGCCGGAAGGUUAAGGAAGUUGGUCAGGGAGCAAUCCUGAAGCUAGCGACUGAAGCCCCGGUGAACGGCGGCCGUAACUAUAACGGUCCUAAGGUAGCGAAAUUCCUUGUCGGGUAAGUUCCGACCCGCACGAAAGGCGUAACGAUCUGGGAGCUGUCUCGGAGAGAGGCUCGGCGAAAUAGGAAUGUCUGUGAAGAUACGGACUACCUGCACCCGGACAGAAAGACCCUAUGAAGCUUUACUGUAGCUUGGUAUUGGGUUCGGGCUUUGAUUGCGCAGGAUAGGUGGGAGACUAUGAGAUAGCUCUUGUGGGAGUUAUGGAGUCACUGGUGAGAUACCACUCUAUCAAGGCUAGAAUUCUAACUUUGACCCGUUAUCCGGGCAGAGAACAGUAUCAGGUGGGCAGUUUGACUGGGGCGGUCGCCUCCUAAAUGGUAACGGAGGCGCGCAAAGGUUCCCUCAGGCUGGUUGGAAAUCAGCCAUUGAGUGUAAAGGCAUAAGGGAGCUUGACUGCGAGACUGACAAGUCGAGCAGGUACGAAAGUAGGCCUUAGUGAUCCGACGGUUCCGCGUGGAAGGGCCGUCGCUCAACGGAUAAAAGUUACUCUAGGAUAACAGGCUGAUCUCCCCCAAGAGUUCACAUCGACGGGGAGGUUUGGCACCUCGAUGUCGGCUCAUCGCAACCUGGGGCUGUAGUCGGUCCCAAGGGUUGGGCUGUUCGCCCAUUAAAGCGGUACGUGAGCUGGGUUCAGAACGUCGUGAGACAGUUCGGUCCAUAUCCGGUGCAGGCGUAGGAACAUUGAGAGGAGUCUUCCUUAGUACGAGAGGACCGGGAAGAACGCACCGCUGGUGUACCUGUUAUCGUGCCAACGGUAAACGCAGGGUAGCCAAGUGCGGAGAGGAUAACCGCUGAAAGCAUCUAAGUGGGAAGCCCACCUCAAGAUGAGUGUUCCCAUGGCAAAAGCCAGUAAGGUCACGGGUAGACCACCCGUUAAUAGGCGCUAGAUGGAAGUCCAGCAAUGGAUGUAGUCGAGGCGUACUAACAGACCGAGGGCUU